GCAAUGGACGAAAGUCUGACGGAGCAACGCCGCGUGAGUGAUGACGGCCUUCGGGUUGUAAAGCUCUGUUAAUCGGGACGAAAGGCCUUCUUGCGAAUAGUUAGAAGGAUUGACGGUACCGGAAUAGAAAGCCACGGCUAACUACGUGCCAGCAGCCGCGGUAAUACGUAGGUGGCAAGCGUUGUCCGGAAUUAUUGGGCGUAAAGCGCGCGCAGGCGGAUUGGUCAGUCUGUCUUAAAAGUUCGGGGCUUAACCCCGUGAUGGGAUGGAAACNWGCCAAUNYUAGAGUAUCGGAGAGGAAAGUGGAAUUCCUAGUGUAGCGGUGAAAUGCGUAGAUAUUAGAGAANAACACCAGUGGCGAAGGCGACUUUCUGGACGAAAACUGACGCUGAGGCGCGAAAGCCAGGGGAGCGAACGGGAUUAGAUACCCCGGUAGUCCUGGCCGUAAACGAUGGGUACUAGGUGUAGGAGGUAUCGACCCCUUCUGUGCCGGAGUUAACGCAAUAAGUACCCCGCCUGGGGAGUACGACCGCNAGUUGAAACUCAAAAGGAAUUUGACGGGGGGCCCGCACAAGCCGGUGG
RNAcentral lists this ribosomal RNA (582 nucleotides) under uncultured bacterium (human infant) D1F. Its description in RNAcentral is "bacterial SSU rRNA". It matches the Rfam family "Bacterial small subunit ribosomal RNA", at positions 368 to 936 of the family's 1533-position model. The record is from RNAcentral.